GAGUACUGCCCAUUCUUUUCAUCUAGCUGUUGGUUUUGUUUUUCUCAGUGAUAUAUUUAUUUUCGUUUGAGAAGAAGUUAAUUAAAAUUGAAAAUGAGAUACGUGCGGAAGACUACGUGGCAGUCGUGGACAAAAACAAGCUUAAGAGCGGAUAUUAAUGCAGUCAAAUUGGGUGCAUCAAUCCCUGCUUCAGCUAAGCUGCAUGCUAUACCUAGAAGAACGUUGCUCCGCUAUUUGGACAAACAAAACGAAAUUGGGAGACUGGAACUCUGUCAGAUGGACCGGUUUAAAACCGUAUUUACCGAAAACCAGGAAAAGGAUUUUGUGAUUCACAUCGUUCAUAUGUCAAAUUGUGGAUUUGGACUAACACAUAGACAUCCGAAGAAGAACAUACCAAAAGGCCGAGAAACACCACAUUGCACAUACUUUCACCCUUUCCUUGGAAGGCAUUCGGGUCUCAGCCUACGAAAGGCGGAAAAUACAUCGCUAGCUCGCAUUAAAGGGUGUAAUAAAAAAGCGGUCGACUCGUUCAAUCAGCUCCUACGAAAGAUGUAUACGGAAUAUAAUUAUUCCUAGGAGAAAAUUUGUAAUAUAAAAGAAACUGGCUUUAGCACAGUUCAAAACAAAUCCGUCAGAGUGUUCGCAAAGAACAAAAGCAUCAGAUAGCGGGAAUUUCAUCUGUGUUUUGUGUUUGCUCGAGCCAGAAUGAACAAAUACUUCUAAAUUGGAGCCCCCGAGAACUCCUUGUUUAUGUGCCAUCCCAUCGGCUGGAGCAACUCCAAUACCCGUAGUUUGUAGUUUGAGCACUUUCUGGUAAAACAAACAGCUGAUGCUGUUAAUGAUAUUUUUUGUUCCACUUGUGGAGAUUUGUUCAGUUCAUCUGGAAAUGGCAAUGGAUGGAAUAGAUGCCUCCGUUGCUAUUCUUGGUUCUAUCAGGUUACCUUGAAACACAGUACAUGUUACUGAAAUAUGAAAUGUUACUUCGCUAAGAAAUAAAAUAUUGUUUUUUUUUUCAUGGAAUAAAUUGAUUUUGAUAUGACAUAA
Molecule: long non-coding RNA, 1044 nt
Organism: Wyeomyia smithii (pitcher-plant mosquito)
Lineage: Eukaryota; Metazoa; Arthropoda; Insecta; Diptera; Culicidae
Exons: 2
Source: RefSeq, a predicted model, not a curated record